UCUCCUGCUUUUUCCAGAAAAAUAAUAAAAACACCAAAGCACUUAAGCAGAAAUAAUCUUUAUUUUGAAAAUGUUUUUGGCAAGGCACUUGUUCUCUUCAGCCAUACCAAUGAUACUCAUUAAGUUGAUGUGGCUGAAGAGGGCAGAAAUCUUUCCAAAAACAUUUCCAAAAUAUUGUUCCUGCCUAAGUGCUGUGGUGUUUCUGUUUAUUAUUUUUAAUUUUAAGACAUUCUUUUUUGGCAUUACUUUAAUAUUCAGAUUGAGUCUACACUAGAGACAUCAAGAUAAUCUUGAUGAUGGCAUUGAUGUUAACACAGAGAAAAUAAAAGAUAAAAAUCAGUUAUUGAUUCAAUCUUCAAUAGCAGUUGAC
Molecule: long non-coding RNA, 370 nt
Filed under: Androctonus crassicauda
Lineage: Eukaryota; Metazoa; Arthropoda; Arachnida; Scorpiones; Buthidae
Source: RNAcentral